RNAcentral lists this transfer RNA (73 nucleotides) under Neotoma lepida (desert woodrat). It matches the Rfam family "tRNA". Rfam says of the family: Transfer RNA (tRNA) molecules are approximately 80 nucleotides in length. Lineage: Eukaryota; Metazoa; Chordata; Mammalia; Rodentia; Cricetidae. The record is from Rfam by way of RNAcentral.
GGAGANGUGGCUCAGAGGUUAAGAGCACUGGCUGCUCUUCCAGAGGACCUGAGUUCAAUUCCCAGCACCCACA